This 497-nucleotide ribosomal RNA is filed under the name uncultured bacterium. RNAcentral's name for it is "partial 16S ribosomal RNA". It matches the Rfam family "Bacterial small subunit ribosomal RNA", at positions 28 to 507 of the family's 1533-position model. The record is from RNAcentral.
GAUGAACGCUGGCGGCGUGCCUAAUACAUGCAAGUCGAGCGAACAGAUGAGGAGCUUGCUCCUCUGACGUUAGCGGCGGACGGGUGAGUAACACGUGGAUAACCUACCUAUAAGACUGGGAUAACUUCGGGAAACCGGCGCUAAUACCGGAUAAUAUAUUGAACCGCAUGGGUCAAUAGUGAAAGACGGUUUUGCUGUCACUUAUAGAUGGAUCCGCGCCGCAUUAGCUAGUUGGUAAGGUAACGGCUUACCAAGGCAACGAUGCGUAGCCGACCUGAGAGGGUGAUCGGCCACACUGGAACUGAGACACGGUCCAGACUCCUACGGGAGGCAGCAGUAGGGAAUCUUCCGCAAUGGGCGAAAGCCUGACGGAGCAACGCCGCGUGAGUGAUGAAGGUCUUCGGAUCGUAAAACUCUGUUAUUAGGGAAGAACAAAUGUGUAAGUAACUAUGCACGUCUUGACGGUACCUAAUCAGAAAGCCACGGCUAACUACGUG